GUUAUUUUCUAGAAUUCUAAAUUGACUUGUAUACUCUCAUUUAAAUUUGUGAAAUAUGAAGAACAAUUGUGUUGUAGGCAUGUUAUAUAAAUAUCUUUUAAAAUGUUUUUUAAUUUUAUUUUAGCUUGAAUGAAGAAAUGCCCACUUGCCUACCAUCAUUUUCUUUAUCUCAGAACCCUGGGCAACAGUCUGUAAAAGAAGAGAAUUUAAAAAACAGGUCAAUGAAGAGUAACCAGACAGGCAGCAUGUUAUCACUUCAGGAGAAAACAAAACCUUUUCUCUGGAAGUCCUAAUAUUUCUACCAUAGUUCUGAGUUAUCUCAGAGCUGGAACAGCCACCUCCGAUGGGUCAGAAAGAUCAUCCCUGUAGAAAUCUGGCCUGAGAAGACUUUUGGUAAAAUGUUUCGGGAAUGAUCAAAUGCAUAGAAAAAGACAUUGAAACUAGUCAUACAAUAAAAAUGAGGAGCAAAUAAUGGAGAGCCUGUUU
This 486-nucleotide long non-coding RNA is filed under the name Phascolarctos cinereus (koala). RNAcentral describes it as "lncRNA (ENSPCIG00000032268.1)". Lineage: Eukaryota; Metazoa; Chordata; Mammalia; Diprotodontia; Phascolarctidae. The record is from RNAcentral.